This 11781-nucleotide long non-coding RNA is filed under the name Homo sapiens (human). Its description in RNAcentral is "non-protein coding LINC02482:16". The record is from RNAcentral. Lineage: Eukaryota; Metazoa; Chordata; Mammalia; Primates; Hominidae.
GCCCGCUGUAGCGCCACAGCUCUUUGGGCGUUGAUUCUAGGGUCAGGGCCCUCACUCACACUGCUGGAAGGUUAAAGUCGACUUCACGCUAGUUUAAGGAAAUAUCUGACGCUGAUAACCAUGUCCCAAGCACUGCUCUAAGUUCCCAAUGUGUCCGGAAUUGGUGGGUUCUUGGUCUCACUGACUUCAAGAAUGAAGCCACGGACCCUCGCGGUGAGUGUUACAGCUCUUAAAGUGGCGCGUCUGGAGUUUGUUCCUUCUGAUGUUCGGAUGUGUUCGGAGUUUUUUCCUUCUGGUGGGUUCGUGGUCUCGCCGGCUCAGGAGUGAAACUGCAGACCUGUUACGGCUCAUAAAGGCAGUGUGGACCCAAAGAGUGAGCAGCAGCAGGAUUUAUUGCAAAGAGAGAAAGAACAAAGCUUCCACAAUAGAAGGGGACCUGAGCCGGUUGCCACUGCUGGCUCCGGCAGCCUGCUUUUAUUGUCUUAUCUGGCCCCACCCACAUCCUGCUGAUUGGUAGAGCCGAGUGGUCUGUUUUGACAGGGUGCUGAUUGGUGCGUUUACAAUCCCUGAGCUAGACACAAAGGUUCUCCAAGGCCCCAGCAGAGUCGAUUGGUAUAUUCACAAACCCUGAGCUAGACACACGGUGCUGAUUGGUGUAUUUACAAUCCCUGAGCUAGACAUAAAGGUUCUCCACAUCCCCACCAGACUCAGGAGCCCAGCUGGCUUCACCAAGUGGAUCCCACACCAGGGCUGCAGGUGGAGCUGCCUGCGAGAACGGCACCGUGCGCCCACACUCCUCAGCCCUUGGGUGGUGAUGGGACUGGGCGCCGUGGAGCAGGGGGUGGUGCUCGUCGAGGAGGCUCGGGCAGCACAGGAGCCCAUGGAGGGGGUGGGAGGCUCAGGCAUGGCGGGCUGCAGGUCCCGAGCCCUGCCCCUCGGAAAGGCAGCUAAGGCCCGGUGAGAAAUCGAGCACAGCGCCGGUGGGCUGGCACUGCUGAGGGACCCAGUACACCCUCCGCAGCCGCUGGCCCGGGUGCUAAGCCCCUCAUUGCCGGGGGCUGGCAGGGCCAGCCGGCUGCUCCGAGUGCGGGGCCCACCAAGCCCACGCCCACCCUGAACUCCAGCUGGCCCGCAAGCGCCGUGUGCAGCCCCGGUGCCCGCUCGCGCCUCUCCCUCCACACCUCCCUGCAAGCUGAGAGAGCCGGCUCUGGCCUUGGCCAGCCCAGAAAGGGGCCUCCACAGUGCAGCAGUGGGCUGAAGGGCUCCUCAAGUGCUGCCAAAGUGGGAGCCCAGGCAGAGGAGGCACCGAGAGUGAGCGAGGGCUGUGAGGACUGCCAGCACACUGUCACCUCUCACCAACAUUCUAAAUCAUAAACACCCAGGCCGGGCGUGUGGCUCACGCCUAUAAUCCCAGCACUUUGGGAGGCUGAGGUGAGAGGAUCGCUUGAGCUCAGGAGUUCCAUACCAGCCUGGGCAACAAGGGAAAAAACCCUACCAAAAAAAACACAAGAAAUUAGCUGGGCGUGGUGGCGCGUGCCGAUAGUCCCAGCUACUUGAGAGGCUGAGCCGGGAAGAUUGCUUGAGCCCAGCAGGUCGAGACCGAGGUGAGCUCUGAACGCCUGAUUGCGCCACUGCACCCCAGCCCAGUGACAGGGCGAGACCCUGUCUCAAAAUAAAUAAAUAAAAAUAAUAAACAACCGAAUUCAGUGGUCCCGUUAGAAUAUUCCAGGCUCCGAGAAGCCAGGUGCUCACAGCGUCGGGAUUUGCCCCCAGCCAGGGCCUCCGCUCCCUCUUGCCUCGGGCAGAUGCUCCUGGAACACAGAGCUGCGGCCUCGGUGCUGAUGCUGAGUGCUGUGACCCAGCCUCCCCCUACUUUUUUCCUAAGGGUAUAAGCUUCACUCUGCCUGGGGCUUUGGCUGUAAGUUGGAGUCUGGCUUUACCCACUGUGGGCACCCAAGGCCAAGGUGGGUCUGAUUCACCACUGUUUCCUCAGCCCUGCCAGGCUCUGAAUAUGCCUUUAGGAAUCAUUCUGGAAGAUUUCUUUCUUCACUGGACUAUAUAAGUGCCUCUGCGAGAAAACAGGCCCUAGGGGCAGGUACUUAGUCAGUUUAGUCAUCUGUUUCCUCAGCUUGAAAUGGGCUUGGCAUACAGCAGGAGCCCAGUAAAUGUUGCUUUAAUGCUCAUUUCCCAAGAGAUCUUUAUUAAGCACCCACUGCAUGUCAUUGUGUCUAGGCUUAUUCACUGUGUACCUCUAGCAGAAAGUUAAGGGGACCCUCCAUGCUUGAUGGCCAGAGGUCACUCUCAGCUCCUACAGGUCACUCUCCGGUCCUUAAACGUGGCCCUCUCCAUCUUCAAAGCCAGUAAGAGCAUGUCGGAUCCUUCUUAUCCUUCCAGCCUCUCUGUCAUCCCCUUCUGCUCCCAGCUGGAGAAAACUCUGCUUUUAAGGGGCUUGCCAUGGUCCAAAUAUGUGAGUCCCCCCAAAAUUCAUAUGUUGCAAAGCAAUCCCCAAUGUGAUGAUAUUAGGAGGUGGGGUCUUUGGGAGGUGAUGUGGUCAUGAAGGCUCAGCUUUCAUGAAUGAGAUUAGCACCCUCAUAAAACAACUCCACAGGGCCGCCUUACCCCUUCUGCUGUGGGAGGUUAUAGCAAAAAGAUGGGCUUCUAUGAACCAGAAGUGGGCCCUCACCAGGCACCAAACCUGCUGGCACCGUGAUCUUGUACUGCUCAGCCUUCAGAACUCAGAAAAUACAUUUCUGUUGUUUAGAAGACACCCAGUUUCUGGUAUUUUGUUAGAGCAGCGUGAACGGACUAAAAUAGUGCUUAUGUGGUUGUGUAACAGCAUCGAUUCCAUGUUAAAGAACAAUUUUGCUUGCUCAAUUAUAAUUAUUGCUUUGCUUAAGUUUUAGACUAUGCUAAAAACAGCCUCAGGACCUUCAGCACUGAUCAACAAUCCUGGGCAUGGGCUGACCGACAGUUUUCACCCAGAGAGUGAAGAUCAUGGAGGAGCCAUCUUAAAUUCUGCCCAGCGCAGGCUCCCAGGAAUCCUAAUGUCACGAUCUCACUGCAGCCAAUGUGACAAACACAGCAGUAAUUAAGUCUAGAGAGCUAAACACACCUCAAAAAGAAUUGUCUCUUGGUAUGAGUGGAAUGGAAUAAAAUACAUGGAAACCCACAAAAGUUUCGAGAGAGGACACAAGCACAGGUUUGAAAGAGGCUUUCGCGGUUGGACUCGCUUUCCUCUGCGUCUCUGCCUUCGCUAUGAGAAGAACGGGCACCGGUCUUGGGAAGAUGGUGAGAGAAACACAGAACCAAGCUGCUCUAGACAGGCCUAGCCUAGACCAGGUGGCCCGCAGACCAUUACUGAGCCCAGCCUGGAUCAUCCAACUCCCAGCCAAACUGCAGACCAUGAGGAAUGUUUAUUGUUGUCACGGAGAUUUAGGGUGGCUCAUGCAGCAAAAGCCAGUUGAUGGCCGUAGGUGGGAUUAUAAUCCCGGAUACAUUAAAAUGCCAGUCUCUUCUUUUCCCCAUGUCUUCAUUUGCUCACUCUCAGGUGAAGGGAUCUUGCUUGGAGGCCCAGACGUUCUGGAUUUUCUCUUUAGAAACUGUGGCUUGAAGCAUCCUCUUCAGGAAACAAUAUUUACUCCUUUUGUAUCUCCAAAACCCCUCCUCACCCCUUUUGCAACCCAAACCCAAGUGUCUUCUGUGUCCUAUUUUUCUUCUUUUGAGGCAGAGUCUUGCUCUGCUGCCCAGGCUGGAAUGCAGUGGUGCGAUCACGGCUCACUGCAGCCUCGACCUCCCUGGCCCAGGUGAUCCUCGCAACUCAGCCUCCCGAGUAGCUGGGACUACAGGCACAUACCACAAUACCUGGCUAAUUUUUUUGUAUUUUUUUGUAGAGGUGUGGUUUCACUAUGUUACCCAGGUUGGUCUUGAACUGAGCUCAAGCAAUCUGCCUGCCUCGGCCUCCCAAAGUGCUGGGAUUACAGGUGUGAGCCACUGCGCCUGGCCAGCUUGUACAUUUUACAAUCAAGAUUACAAGACUACUGCCAGCUGUAGGCCACAUCAGGCUCUGAGAAGAGGGGAUGUGGACAGAGGUAACCAGGACAAAAGGAAAAAAAAGUCCUUAAUUUCACCUUCUCUGAUGCCAUUUAGUUCAUGCCGAUCAUCUGUAAUUCACAUCUGUGAACUUUCAGCCCGUUUGGGAGAAGCCUUCCCUCAAGUGCUUAAUUAUGGCACAGGAUGGUCUCUUUUACACAAACGACUGUGCAAAGACAUAGAAAGUGGAAUUUAUUUCUAUCAGAAUUAAUUCAGAAAAUCUGGGUAAGUUCCACACUCCAUUUAACACUCAUUACACAUAAUAACUGGUCAGACCACAUUGUGUAUGACUUAACCCACAUUACAUGAAUAGUCUAGGAAUAACAAAAGAAUUUACUAUUUAUUUAUCUGAAACAAUGUUGAUUCUGGGUUUGGUAAGAUUCUGGGCUCGACACAAUUCUGAGUCAUGCUAAAUUCUUCCACCAAAGGCAGCUGCCAUAAUGGAGUGUCUGGUACAGGAAGCGCGAGCCACUGGAGUGUGGGACGCAUCACGGCCACAACAACAAAGCUGUCUCCACGUCCACUGCUAGCCGGGCGGGGCAGUAAAACGUGGUGUCUUGCACGUUGUAUUUUCAAGAAACGGCCACAAUGCAAUUGCUAACAGUUGCACCUGCUCUUCCAGAACCUUGCCAUGCCCAUCAAGAGGUGGAGUCUGUGUCUCCUCCCUUUGACCCUGGCGGGACUUUGUGAAGGUGAUAUGGCAAAGAGAUGCUAUGGGACUUCCGAUGCUUACUCUCCUGGGUUUUGUACAUUUGGACGCCAAAGCCACCAUAUACGAAGUCUGGCUCCCCUGAAAUUGCCAUGCUGUGGAGACUAUGUAAAAAGAUCUCUGGUCGGGCGCCCCAGCACUUUGGGGGGCUGAGGCAGGUGGAUCACUUGAGGUCAGGAGUUCAAGACCAGCCUGGCCAACGUGGAGAAACCCCGUCUCUACUAAAAAUACAAAAAUUAGCUGGGCGUGGUGUGGGGUGCCUGUAAUCCCAGCUACUCGGGAGGCUGAGGCAGAAGAAUCGCUUGAACCUGGGAGGCAGAGGUUGCAGUGAGCUGAGAUCGUGCCAUUGCACUCCAGCCUGGAUAACAAGAGCCAAACUCCAUCUCACAAAAAAAAAAAAAAAAAGAUCACUGAAAGAGAUAUCCGUAUCUGGAAAUGGAGUGCUGCCGAAGGAUGCUGAAGAGACAAAGGAAGCCUAUUGGCUUUGAGAAGGCUCUCAGUGGAGACCUAAAGAAGAGUGAGGCAUCUGGAGGUGCUGCAGCCCACCAGGCUGCUGUAACAGAAUGUCAUAGCCUGGGGGGCUUAGAAACAAAGGUUCCUCACAGCGCUGGAGGCUGAAAGUCCAAGAUGAAGGCGCUGGCAGAUUCAGUGUUUGGGGAGGGAGAGCCCUUUCUCUGUGUUUUCACAUGGCAGGAGGGGCGAGGGAGCUCUCUGGGGUCCCUUUGAUAAGGGUACUAAUCCCAUGCAUGAGGGCUCCACCCUCAUGACCUUGCCACCCCCAAAAGCUUCUUCCUAACCCCAUCACAUUGCGGGUAGGAUUUCAACAUGGAUUUUGAGGGGACACAGUAACAGGAGGAAAGGGGUCCCUGUUACACAGAAGCAGAGUUUAGCAAUACCUAAACUCUGCAGAAACGUGGAAGAGACAGCAUGUACUUAUGAAACGGAUUCCAGGCACUGCUGAAGAGUUGCCUGACCUCUGGUUGCUUAGAGUAAAAUGCAAGCGGAACUCUUAACUCUGAAGGAUCUGGGGCUUGUGGGUUUGUAAUCACCACUGUUUCUCCCUCCCAGCCUCUCAGGAUGGCAAGGAAUGCUAACGUUAAGAAAUGGUUUCUGAGGCUGGGCGCGGUGGCUCACGCCUGUAAUCCCAGCACUUUGGGAGGCCGAGGCAGUAGGAUCACCUGAGGUCGGGAGUUCGAGACCAGCCUGAUCAACAUGGAGAAACCCCGUCUCUACUAAAAAUACAAAAUUAGCCGGGUGUGGUGGCACAUGCCUGUAAUCCCAGCUACUCGGGAGACUGAGGCAGGAGAAUCGCUGGAAGCCGGGAGGCGGAGGUUGCGGUGAGCCGAGAUGGCGCCAUUGCAUUCCAGCCUGGGCAACAAGAGCGAAACUCCGUCUCAAAAAAAAAAAAAAAAAAAGAAAAAGAAAUGGUUUCUGGACAGAGGUAAGCCUAGGGUGGUGCUAUCAGGAAAACGUGGCUCACGCCUGCAAUCCCAGCACUUUGGGAGGCCGAGGCAGGCGGAUCACGAGGUCAGGAGAUCGAGACCAUCCUGGCUAACACGGUGAAACCCCGUCUCUACUAAAAAUACAAAAAAUGAGCCGGGCGCGGUGGUGGGCGCUUAUAGUCCCAGCUACUCGGGAGGCUGAGGCAGGAGAAUGGCGUGAACCCGGGAGGCGGAGCUUGCAGUGAGCGGAGAUAGCGCCACUGCACUCCGGCCUGGGCGAAAGAGCUAGACUCCGUCUUAAAAAAAAAAAAAAAAAAAAUGAGACCAAAGGCAUGACCACAAAUCCCCUGUCUUCACCCAGGCUGGCUGCUUCCGCUUCACGUUCAGUAUAUUUAAAAGUUCUUGCCAUGAGACAGGGUUUUCUUAUCCCCUCAUCCACCCCGUCUUCCCCUUUGGUGAAGGAGGGUGAGUUUGUUAAGACGUUGUGGAGGAACUAAGGCUUCCAAAGGUUUCGGGCCUGAGGUGACGAGAGGGGCCAGAACCUAAAGGAAGAGCCGAGGUGCAGGAGAGGCAAGGAGCCAACAUGGCGACAAACUGGGGUGGGCAGCGGAGAGGGGGACUCAGAAUGCCCUCUGGGGUGGACUCAGAAGACCAAAUUUGCAGCAUCCCUGGCCUGUGAAGGUCGCACAGAGUGAGGCUGCACUGUGGUAAUGGGCUGCUCCUACCCACCCCCGGUGAACCCUCAGGGCACACCCUGGGGGUGGGCUGCACCUACCUACCCACGCUGAACCCUCAGGCGCGCCAGCAGCGGCUCCCGGCAAGGGGAACAGCCUGGGACUGUGGGGUUGAGCUGCAGUCAAGUGGCUGAGGCUUCUGAACUGUGAUAAAAGCACCGCGGGCUCACGCCUGUAAUCCCAGCACUUUGGGAGGCCGAGGCGGGUGGACCACGAGGUCAGGGGAUCGAGACCAUCCUGGCUAAGAUGGUGAAACCCCGUCUCUACUAAAAAAUACAAAAAAUUAGCCGGGCGUGGUGGCGGGCGCCUGUAGUCCCAGCUACUUAGGAGGCUGAGGCAGGAGAAUGGCGUGAACCCGGGAGGCGGAGCUUGCAGUGAGCCGAGAUCGCGCCACUGCACUCCAGCCUGGGCAACAGAGCGAGACUCCGUCUCCAAAAAAAAAAAAAAAGCACCGCGGAGAGCGGGAAGGAGGCCUGGGAGGAGACUGCACUAUCACCCAGUGAGUGUGAGUAUGCGUGUGUGUGAGCAUGAGUGGUGUGUGAGCGAGUGUGUGUAUGCGAAUGCAUGUAUGUGUAUGAGUGAGCAUGAGUGCACGUGUGAGUGUGAGCAUGUGUGAGUGGUGUGAGCAGGUGUCUGAGAGCAUGUGAAUGCGCAUGUGAGCAUGUGAGCGAGUGUGAGCAUAUGUAUGUGUGGGAGUGAGCAUGAGUGUGAGCUUGUGUAUUGUGAGCCUGUAUGAAUGUGAGCAUGAGUGCACAUGUGAGUGUAUGGGUGUGAGCAUAAAUGUAAGUGGUGUGUGUGAGAACAUGAGUAAGAACGGGUGUGAGCAUGUAUUGUGGGUGUGGAUGAGUGUGAGUGUGCAUGUGCAUACAUGUGGGUAUAAGUGUGAGCGAGUGUAAAUGUGUGUAUGUGUGUGACAUUGUGUGAGCAUGUGUGUAAGCGUGUAUGACUGAGCAUGUGAGUGCACAUGUGAGUGCAUAUGCAUGUGAGCAUGAGUGUCAGCGGGUGUAUGUGUGAGCAUGAGUGAGUGGGUGUGCGUAUGUGUGAGUGUGACCAUGACUAUGUGAGCGUGUAUGAGUGUGAGCGUGUGAGCGCAUGAGUGUACAUGUGAGCAUGAAUGUGAACGGAUGUAUGUGAGCAUGUGUGAACCUGUGUAUGUGUGUGAGCAUGAGUGUGUAAAUGUGUGCGUGCGAGCGUGAGUGUGAGCAUGAGUGUGUGUGAGUGGGCAUGAUGAGUGUGCGUGUGAAUGCUCGUGUGAGCGUGCGCGGCCGGGCCAGAGCCGCUGGGCGCAGGGAGCGGGAGGCCUGGGAGGAGCUGCAGGCCGAGGCUGAGCCACCUUCCUCAGGAGCUGUUCCCAUCACCUCUAGGCGGCGCGGGAAGCGCUCGGUGUGCAGCGGUUCCUGAACCUGCAUCACCCACAAAGAAUUUUUUUUUUUUUUUUUUUGAGACGGAGUCUCGCUCUGUCACCCAGGCUGGAGUGCAGUGGCGCGAUCUCGGCUCACUGCAAGCUCGGCCACCCAGGUUCACGCCAUUCUCCUGCCUCAGCCUCCUGAGGAGCGGGGACUACAGGUGCCCGCCACCACGCCCGGCUAUUUUUUUGUAUUUUUAGUAGAGACGGGGUUUCACCAUCUUAGCCAGGACGGUCUCGAUAUCCUGACCUCGUGAUCCGCCCGCCUCCGCCUCCCAAAGUGUUGGGAUUACAGGCAUGAGCCACCGCGCCCGGCAAGAAUUUUAAAGAAAGUAGGAUCGGCCCGGGAGAAGGGCAGGGAGGAGGCCCGCGGAGGCUUGGCGAGGAGACCUGGGUGCCAGGAGACGGCGGAGCUCCCCGAGCUCUGGCUUUACCAGGUCAAGGCCCCUGUCACGAGGCGCGCGCCCUCAGGAGGCGACAGGGGGGCGACCCCCGCUAUGGCUUCAGGGCCCCACCCGGAGGCGAACAUUCCCGGCUCUGGACGAGCACGGCACGCAGGACCCGGAACCCAGGGUCCCGGGCGCACCCGCCUCGCGGUCCCCUUCCGCAUGUCCGCGCCCCCUCGCUCCAGGCCCAGGGUCGGCCAGGAGGGAACCCCGGCCGCAGGCUCAGGGAGGCUUGGGGCCGGGGACGGACGGCGCCGUGGGGCCCGGCGGCCAGCGGCCAGGGCGACUGUCCCACGCGCGGCUGCUUUCCGGGACUUGAGCUGGAAGAAAAAAAUACGGACUCCUUAGAGGCCAAAUAGGAAAAAGAAUAAGCAGGUAACCCAAGCAUAGGAGCGUUCAAGCUAGCCUUGGCUCUAACGGUGUCUACAAACCUUGGUGAACUUGAGCAGGCGACAGUCUAGAGCCUCAGAACGUUGGCAGCUAUGGAGGACACAUGGCUCAGACUGCCCUUUAGGAAUGAAGGUCUUAUUCCAGCUGCUGAGACAGCCCCAAGCCAGCAGCCAUCUUCAGAGAUUGUCACCCCAUCCUUCCUGGGGCAGCUGCAUUUGGUGAUUGAUCUCUGCAGAGGUAGAAAGCCCAGUCCUCUCACCCCAACGUGGGGAGGGCUCUGAAGAGCCAUCAAACCGUCCUAGUUACCCAUUGCUGCAUAACACAUUUUCGCAAAACUUAAAAGCUUAAAACAAACAUUUAUUACCUUACAGUUUCCAUGGGUCAGGGAGCUGCGCAGGGCUUAGCUGGGUGCCUCUGGCUCAAGGUCUCUGGAGGUUGCAGUCAAGAUGUUGGCUGGGCUACUGUAGUUUGAAAGCUCAACUGGGAUGGUGAGGGGCGACCUUUUCGAAAAUCAAGCCUGUGAUUGUUGCCAGUCCUUGGUCCCAAACCGCACAGCCUUUACACUGGGUUGCUUCACAGCACGGUGUCUGCUAUACCCGGGCUGAGCAAUGCUGAGAGGGAGAGAGGGCGUACACGGUGGAAGCCAGGACAUCCCACCGCUUCUGCAGAAUUCUCCACUAGAAGCAAGUCAAUAACUCUGGCCCACUCUCAAAACAGAGAUUCUACAAAGACCUGAAUGCCAGGUGGCAGGGAUUGCUGAGGCCCAUCUUAGAGGCUGCCUGUCACACCGUCUUCAGAACUCCCUAGAGAGUUGGCUGAAGCGUCUGCUGAACCUUCAUCAUAGCUAGACUUCUCCUUCGCCCCAUCCUGGUUCUUUUCCUUCCCUCCCACAGGGGUGGAUCCUAAGAGCACUCACUAAUAACCUUCCUAACUAAAUGACAUUUCAGAGAAUGCUUUGCUGCAACAGAAAUCUACCCAGGGAUCAGCCAACUGUGGCCCACUGACAUAAUAUCAACUCAUUUAAUUUUCCUGAUAUCCCCAUGAGGUAGCUACUCUUGAGUAUACCCAUUUUAUAGAAGGGGUAAAGUGAGGUGAAGAGACUUGCGAAACAUUACAAAGUGAGUCAGUCGGCAGUGGACCGGAGAUUCAGCUGCAGUCUGGGCCACCUCAUCCUUACUCCACCUUCCUCCUACAUCUUACAUGUCUACCAGCAGUACAGUGCCUUUUGUUACCCACCAAACAUGUCACCACAGGACAUAUUUAUAUGUUUUCUGAAGGUUCCCUGCUCUAAAAUGUAAGCUUCAUCAGGGCGGUAACACUGUUCUAUUUUAGAACAAUAGCUGGCAUAUAAGAUGCCCCUCAAUAGAGUUACUGCCUGCAUGUGUGACACCUGGCACGCUGUCUUUGAAUUAUUUUGUUGUCUUUACCACCAGGUCUCAUGUCUGUAUUCCUCCUCCAGGGUCUGGGCGCAUCGUGUAGCCAGUGCUUUUGAACACAGGUACCUAGGGCCUGAAGUGUGCCAGUUUCUCUCUUACUCCAACCUCAUUUCCAUGCCUGGGGAUUAUCUGUUCUUCCAAUUGCAGCUUCACUGAAUGCAUUAUAACCCGCAGUUUACUGCAUUUGAGGACAAUGAGACAGACACUGUGAUCUUCAGAAACAUGUUUUAUUUUCUUUUUCCUGGUGAAGUUUAAGGGCUUUGGUUCAUUUGGAUAAAAAUAGGUUUUUAGGUUUUACAUUUUUACAAGCAACAACCAUUAUUACAUGUGGGUGUGCUGUUUUUGUUUUGUUGUUUUGUUUUCUGAGACAAGGUCUUGCUCUGUCACCCACAGGCUGGAGUGCAGUGACAUGAUCUCAGCUCAUUGCAGCCUCAACCUCCCAGGCACAAGCGAUCCUCCUGCCUCAGCCUCCUGAGUAGCUGGGAUACAGACGGUGACUCAAUCUGCCCAGGCUGGAGUGCGGUGACCUGAACACAGCUCACUGAAGCCUUGACUUCCCGGGUUCAAGCAAUUCUCCUGCCUCAGCCUCCCAAGGAGCUGGGACCACAGGUGUGUGCCACCACAUCUGGCUAAUUGUUUUUUAUUUUUGGUAGAGAGAGGUCUCACUAUGUUGUCAAGGCUGAUGUCGAACUCCUGAGCUCAAGUGAUCCUCCUGCCUCAGCCUCCCAAAGUGCUGGGAUUACAGGCAUGAGACACAGCGCCCGACUCACACACUUUUAAAUUUUGUUCUCCGCCUGAUAUUUAGCUUUACGGCAUAGAAGAAAUGGUUUAACCCCCUUAGCGACAUGGCAGCUCUAUGCCCUUUAUUGUUCUACUGCUAAAGGUCUUUGGGUUUCUGUUUCUCCUUUUUUUUUUCUUUUUAAGAAAUGAAAUUAUUUUCUUUUACCUACGUAAAAAGAGUAUACCUUGGCGGAGAGCGUGGCACGGCUCUACGCACCCCUCCCUGCCUGCCCAGCGCCUUCCACGCGGGAAACUCCCCGCCGGUCUCAGCUCCACCCCGCGCUGCCCCGCCGGCUCGGCAGCACUCGCAGCCGGCGAUCCGCUGGUGCAGCUCCACGAUCCGCCUGCCC